Long non-coding RNA from Mya arenaria, 1572 nucleotides. RefSeq lists it as uncharacterized. The record is from RefSeq and is a predicted model, not a curated record. Lineage: Eukaryota; Metazoa; Mollusca; Bivalvia; Myida; Myidae. The transcript has 3 exons.
UCAAUUAUGAAAAUUGUAAUAAAAAUUGUCCUAAACAGUUAGUUGAUAUUGGAAGAGUUAACCUUUUUAAAGAAUUCAAACAAUUAUUUGUUUACAAAUUGCGACUUUCGUGACCUAUUUUUUGUGUCAGACAAUCGGACAUGCGCACUCGCUCUUUAAAAAGUACGGGAAAAUUAUGGCGUUUCAAUGAAAACAUCGGAGUCUUACCAAAAUGGGAAAACCAAAACAUCAAAGCCCAGCUGUGAAGAAAGCUAAAUGUAUUAAAAAGAAAUACCAAAGUGGAUCCCCCGGGAAAGCCCUGAGAUGUAGACGAGCCAUUAUCGCAAUCGAAAAAGGUAAAAACCAGUGAGCCAGUUCCUGGUCCUUCAGGCACAACUGAUGCUACUUUGCUGAAGACCAUUGUGUUGGAGAAAAGUGUUAUUAAAGGAUACCAUGUCUACAAGAUCAAGCCACCUAUUACGGAUCCGCCUACUAAACUUAGGGUGGACUGUGAAUACACUAACAUCGUAGACAAAGAGGCAUGUUUUUUGUGGCUGCCAAACCUUGAGACAUUUAAUGAACAUAUUCAUGACAUGGUUACAGACCAAAGUAGACAAUUGAAAUUAUCCGACAUUGCCGGCCUUCCCAUUGGUCAUGUACCAAGAACAUUAGCAGGGUUUUUCAGAAUAGUUCUUGACGAGGAGGGAAGUAUUUACGCCAUUACAACUGGUGAACCGUGUCUAAGCUUUCCUCCCUGGCCAGCACUUAACGAGAAAGGAGGGGGUGCUGUUAUCCCAUGCUCCUAUUUCAUCUCGUGUCCAUCAAGAACAUUUGAAAUGUCUGUCUCCCUGUUGCGCUCAGCAUUGGAAACAAUGCAAGAAGGUUCAGCUAUGAACGUGUCAUUUAUUAAGUGAAAAGAACAGUUGUUUAAUUGAUGCUUAAUGAUACAGGUUAAAAUCUUCCAAGUGUGUAAUCAUGUUUUUUAAAUGUGAUUUUUUUAUAUAAGUCUAGUCAAACUUUGAUUCGUUUUGUACACCUGGUAUGUGAUGUUAUAAGUGUGAGUAUUUUUUGAUUGAUGCUUGAUGAUACGGGGUAAAAUCUUCAAGUGCUUUAAAAAUGUGAUUUUAUAAGUCUAGUCAAACUUUUAUUGUUGUGUAUACCUGGUAUGUGAUGUUACAAGUGUAAAUAUUUGUUUUGUAUACCUGGUUUGUGAUGUUAUGAGUGUGAGUAUUUGUUAAUUCCUGUCUUAUAGCUGGAAUCUUAAUGAAUGCAUGUUCUAAAGUUGUGUUAGUUUGUUAUUUAAUGCUAGCAUGUAUGUUUAAAAUACAAUCUAGUUAAAUCAUUGUUCUCUUUUAAAAUGCCCCCUUUGUUAAAUUUGAAUAUGACAUGUCCACAAGGCAUAUAUAGGAAUACAUUGAUUAACUGGUACUAAUGUAUGCCACAACUUCUUAAUUCAAUGUGAAACACAUUAUAUACUUCUAAUUUAGUGAAGUGUAACCCUUUGACAAAGUUUUAUAACUACUUUGAGAACACCCAUACUUUGAUCCGAAACUGCCCAAGGUGAACCGGAAGUAACCAAAAUUGGUAAGGUUA